This 622-nucleotide ribosomal RNA is filed under the name uncultured Lachnospiraceae bacterium. RNAcentral describes it as "bacterial SSU rRNA". It matches the Rfam family "Bacterial small subunit ribosomal RNA", at positions 76 to 717 of the family's 1533-position model. Lineage: Bacteria; Bacillati; Bacillota; Clostridia; Lachnospirales; Lachnospiraceae. The record is from RNAcentral.
GAUUUAAUUUAUUUCUAGUGGCGGACGGGUGAGUAACGCGUGGGUAACCUGCCUUAUACUGGGGGAUAACAGCCAGAAAUGACUGCUAAUACCGCAUAAGCGCACAGAACCGCAUGGUUCGGUGUGAAAAACUCCGGUGGUAUAAGAUGGACCCGCGUUGGAUUAGCUAGUUGGCAGGGCAGCGGCCUACCAAGGCGACGAUCCAUAGCCGGCCUGAGAGGGUGAACGGCCACAUUGGGACUGAGACACGGCCCAGACUCCUACGGGAGGCAGCAGUGGGGAAUAUUGCACAAUGGGGGAAACCCUGAUGCAGCGACGCCGCGUGAAGGAAGAAGUAUCUCGGUAUGUAAACUUCUAUCAGCAGGGAAGAUAAUGACGGUACCUGACUAAGAAGCCCCGGCUAACUACGUGCCAGCAGCCGCGGUAAUACGUAGGGGGCAAGCGUUAUCCGGAUUUACUGGGUGUAAAGGGAGCGUAGACGGCGCAGCAAGUCUGAUGUGAAAGGCAGGGGCUUAAUCCCCUGGACUGCAUUGGAAACUGCUGUGCUUGAGUGCCGGAGGGGUAAGCGGAAUUCCUAGUGUAGCGGUGAAAUGCGUAGAUAUUAGGAGGAACACCAGUGGCG